This 406-nucleotide ribosomal RNA is filed under the name uncultured bacterium. Its description in RNAcentral is "partial 16S ribosomal RNA". It matches the Rfam family "Bacterial small subunit ribosomal RNA", at positions 30 to 526 of the family's 1533-position model. The record is from RNAcentral.
AUUGAACGCUGGCGGCAGGCUUAACACAUGCAAGUCGAGCGAGCGGCGGACGGGUGAGUAAUGUCUGGGACACUGCCUGAUGGAGGGGGAUAACUACUGGAAACGGUAGCUACUACCGCAUACCAUCAGAUGUGCCGAGAUGGGAUUAGCUAGUGGGUGGGGUAAUGGCUCACCUAGGCGACGAUCCCUAGCUGGUCUGAGAGGAUGACCAGCCACACUGGAACUGAGACACGGGCCAGACUCCUACGGGAGGCAGCAGUGGGGAAUAUUGCACAAUGGGCGAAAGCCUGAUGCAGCCAUGCCGCGUGUGUGAAGAAGGCCUUCGGGUUGUAAAGCACUUUCAGCGAGGAGGCGUUACUCGCAGAAGAAGCACCGGCUAACUCCGUGCCAGCAGCCGCGGUAAUAC